Molecule: ribosomal RNA, 401 nt
Filed under: uncultured eukaryote
Lineage: Eukaryota
Description: SSU rRNA
Rfam family: Eukaryotic small subunit ribosomal RNA
Source: RNAcentral
CCAGCACCCGCGGUAAUUCCAGCUCCAAUAGCGUAUAUUAAAGUUGUUGCAGUUAAAAAGCUCGUAGUUGGAUUUCUGGUGGGAGGGAACCGUCCGAUCUCAGAUUGGUGCGUGUUCCUCUCCGGCCAUCCUUGAGUCUAACCUCCUUGGCAUUAAGUUGUCGAGGUGGGGAUACUCAUCGUUUACUGUGAAAAAAUUAGAGUGUUCAAAGCAGGCUUAUGCCGUUGAAUAUAUUAGCAUGGAAUAAUAAGAUAGGACCUCGGUACUAUUUUGUUGGUUUGCGCACCAAGGUAAUGAUCAAUAGGGACAGUUGGGGGUAUUCGUAUUCAGUAGUCAGAGGUGAAAUUCUUAGAUUUACUGAAGACGAACUACUGCGAAAGCAUUUACCAAGGAUGUUUUCA